UUAGAAAGGAAAAUUUGUCCCUUUUCCUGAAAACGAAACUCUUCAAUGUAACAUGUAACAUUUAUUUAUGGUAAAUCUAUAAACCAAUCAUUAGUUUAGAUCAGUUCAGUUAAACCACCUCCAUCAUCCACUCCUAGGAAGGGUUCUAAACCAAAAACAAUAAAAAAAUAAAUGAAAAGGAUAAAAAAAACACAGAACCGCUUCUUAAUAUGGGAUUUUUAGAGUUGGUAAGCAUCCUUACGUGUCAUUUUCGUAUUGGAUCUCUCAUUUAUGUCUAUCUCUCCGUGGGCGUUUUGAUCCGAUAUCAGUUUUUGUCUUCCUCCUCCCGUCUCGAUCACUCCAUCUUCUGAUCUCGAUCUCCUUCUGUUACUAAUUGUGGAAGCUAAUCCUCGAUUUGAAUCUGGUGAUUCCAUUGGGCUAGAUAUUAUGUUUGGUCUGUGAUAGUGAAAGCUAUUCAAGGGGAAUCAGAGGUUUGCUCACCCUCUGUAUUUAUCACGGCCACUCUGUUUCUCGUCUUUCCGCUCACCCUUAUCGCCGCGUUUUCGUCAUAAGAUCUCAAAGGAAGAAACAUUAUCUGGUGUAGCUUCAUCACCUCCAUUUUUCCUCGGAUCUCCCCCACGCAGAACAUCAAACUAAACCUUGUCUCACCCUCACUCUCACCAUUGAUCCCAUCUCCAUCUCGUGUCAAAGGAGGAUGUUGUGGUUGAGUAAAGUUUGGGAUUAAAUCUGCAGCUGUUAGAGUAGAAGGAUUUGAUUGCUUAAACAGGGACCGCCAAAACUCAAGCAUACUUGCCAUGGCUUAGGAACGCCAAAACUCAAGCAUACCCACAGGUUUUGUUAUUUAUCCCUUCAAGUAGUUGUUUUCAUUUCUUUGUGGAUUGUGAAUGAUCUUUAUAACUUUAUUUGAUCCUGCUGUUAAGGGAACACUCAACGUUUUGAACUCGUCUACCAAAUUUUAUUUAUGCUUUUCUUCCA
Brassica napus (rape) is the source of this 975-nucleotide long non-coding RNA. RefSeq lists it as uncharacterized. The record is from RefSeq and is a predicted model, not a curated record. The transcript is spliced from 2 exons. Lineage: Eukaryota; Viridiplantae; Streptophyta; Magnoliopsida; Brassicales; Brassicaceae.